AACUGUUCUUAUCAGUUUAAUAUCUGAUACGUCCCCUAUCUGGGGACCAUAUAUUAAAUAGAUUUUUGGAACAGGGAGAUGGAAUAGGGGCUUGCUCCGUCCACUCCGCAUCGACCUGGUAUUGCAGUACCUCCAGGAACAGUCC
RNAcentral lists this small nuclear RNA (145 nucleotides) under Hucho hucho (huchen). Its description in RNAcentral is "U2 spliceosomal RNA (ENSHHUG00000000186.1)". It matches the Rfam family "U2 spliceosomal RNA", at positions 38 to 192 of the family's 192-position model. From Rfam's summary of the family: U2 is a small nuclear RNA (snRNA) component of the spliceosome (involved in pre-mRNA splicing). Complementary binding between U2 snRNA (in an area lying towards the 5' end but 3' to hairpin I) and the branchpoint sequence (BPS) of the intron results the bulging out of an unpaired adenosine, on the BPS, which initiates a nucleophilic attack at the intronic 5' splice site, thus starting the first of two transesterification reactions that mediate splicing. Lineage: Eukaryota; Metazoa; Chordata; Actinopteri; Salmoniformes; Salmonidae. The record is from RNAcentral.